Molecule: long non-coding RNA, 309 nt
Organism: Oncorhynchus keta (chum salmon)
Lineage: Eukaryota; Metazoa; Chordata; Actinopteri; Salmoniformes; Salmonidae
Exons: 2
Source: RefSeq, a predicted model, not a curated record
AAUACCAUCAUUCACAACUAUGGAUUUGUAUGUAUAUCUGUGUGUGUGCUUGUGUUCUUCUCACUCUGUCAUUUAGGUUAGUGUUGUUGAUCCAUCCUCAGUUAUCUCCUAUCACAGCCAUUAAACUCUGUCAUUUAGGUUAGUAUUGUGGAGUAACUACAAUGUUGUUGAUCCAUCCUCAGUGUUCUCCUAUCACAGCCAUUAAACUCUGUCCUUUAGGUUAGUAUUGUGGAGUAACUACAAUGUUGUUGAUCCAUCCUCAGUGUUCUCCUAUCACAGCCAUUAAACUCUGUGACUAUUUUAAAGUCA